UACGAAGGGGGCUAGCGUUGUUCGGAAUCACUGGGCGUAAAGCGCACGUAGGCGGAUCUUUAAGUCAGGGGUGAAAUCCCGAGGCUCAACCUCGGAACUGCCUUUGAUACUGAGAAGCUUGAGUCCGGGAGAGGUGAGUGGAACUGCGAGUGUAGAGGUGAAAUUCGUAGAUAUUCGCAAGAACACCAGUGGCGAAGGCGGCUCACUGGCCCGGUACUGACGCUGAGGUGCGAAAGCGUGGGGAGCAAACAGG
This 253-nucleotide ribosomal RNA is filed under the name uncultured bacterium. RNAcentral's name for it is "partial 16S ribosomal RNA". It matches the Rfam family "Bacterial small subunit ribosomal RNA", at positions 524 to 776 of the family's 1533-position model. The record is from RNAcentral.